AAUCCAUAGGUUAAUGAGGCGAACCGGGGGAACUGAAACAUCUAAGUACCCCGAGGAAAAGAAAUCAACCGAGAUUCCCCCAGUAGCGGCGAGCGAACGGGGAGGAGCCCAGAGCCUGAAUCAGCAUGUGUGUUAGUGGAAGCGUCUGGAAAGGCGCGCGAUACAGGGUGACAGCCCCGUACACAAAAGCGCAUGUGCUGUGAGCUCGAUGAGUAGGGCGGGACACGUGGUAUCCUGUCUGAAUAUGGGGGGACCAUCCUCCAAGGCUAAAUACUCCUGACUGACCGAUAGUGAACCAGUACCGUGAGGGAAAGGCGAAAAGAACCCCGGCGAGGGGAGUGAAAAAGAACCUGAAACCGUGUACGUACAAGCAGUGGGAGCACAGGUUUACCUGUGUGACUGCGUACCUUUUGUAUAAUGGGUCAGCGACUUAUAUUCUGUAGCAAGGUUAACCGAAUAGGGGAGCCGGAGGGAAACCGAGUCUUAAUUGGGCGUUAAGUUGCAGGGUAUAGACCCGAAACCCGGUGAUCUAGCCAUGGGCAGGUUGAAGGUUGGGUAACACUAACUGGAGGACCGAACCGACUAAUGUUGAAAAAUUAGCGGAUGACCUGUGGCUGGGGGUGAAAGGCCAAUCAAACCGGGAGAUAGCUGGUUCUCCCCGAAAGCUAUUUAGGUAGCGCCUCGUGAAUUCAUCUCCGGGGGUAGAGCACUGUUUCGGCUAGGGGGCCAUCCCGGCUUACCAACCCGAUGCAAACUGCGAAUACCGGAGAAUGUUAUCACGGGAGACACACGGCGGGUGCUAACGUCCGUCGUGAAGAGGGAAACAACCCAGACCGCCAGCUAAGGUCCCAAAGUCAUGGUUAAGUGGGAAACGAUGUGGGAAGGCCCAGACAGCCAGGAUGUUGGCUUAGAAGCAGCCAUCAUUUAAAGAAAGCGUAAUAGCUCACUGGUCGAGUCGGCCUGCGCGGAAGAUGUAACGGGGCUAAACCAUGCACCGAAGCUGCGGCAGCGAACGUAUCACUUAAAGCGAUUCAGCGGGUUACGAUUGACGGAGCGAAGCGACGUCAAAGCGUAUACAAAGUCGAGUCGGUUUAAGGAUACGUUCGUUGGGUAGGGGAGCGUUC
Molecule: ribosomal RNA, 1124 nt
Filed under: Salmonella enterica subsp. enterica serovar Newport
Lineage: Bacteria; Pseudomonadati; Pseudomonadota; Gammaproteobacteria; Enterobacterales; Enterobacteriaceae
Description: partial 23S ribosomal RNA
Rfam family: Bacterial large subunit ribosomal RNA
Source: RNAcentral